This 459-nucleotide ribosomal RNA is filed under the name uncultured bacterium. RNAcentral describes it as "partial 16S ribosomal RNA". It matches the Rfam family "Bacterial small subunit ribosomal RNA", at positions 30 to 523 of the family's 1533-position model. The record is from RNAcentral.
AUUGAACGCUGGCGGUGUGCCUAAUACAUGCAAGUCGAGCGGUAAGGUCUCUUCGGAGAUACACGAGCGGCGGACGGGUGAGUAACGCGUAAGAAUGUACCCCAAAGUGAGGGAUAAGCACCAGAAAUGGUGUCUAAUACCGCAUAUGCUCUUAGGAGUAAAGCUUCGGCGCUUUGGGAACAGCUUGCGUAUGAUUAGCUAGUUGGUAAGGUAAUGGCUUACCAAGGCGACGAUCAUUAGCGGGUCUGAGAGGAUGAUCCGCCACACUGGGACUGAGACACGGCCCAGACUCCUACGGGAGGCAGCAGUAGGGAAUUUUCCACAAUGGGGGCAACCCUGAUGGAGCAACACCGCGUGCAGGAUGAAGGCCUUCGGGUUGUAAACUGCUUUUGUCUGUGACGAAUAUGACGGUAGCAGACGAAUAAGGAUCGGCUAACUACGUGCCAGCAGCCGCCGUAA